GUCUACUCCGAACUCCUACUACAAAUGGUCUACUCCGAGCUUCUAUUACAAGCGACCUACUCCAAAUUUCUACUACGAGUGGUCCACGUCGGAUCUCUACUGUAAGCCUCCAUCCGAGCUUCUAUUGUGAACGAAUUCCUUUCGGACUCCUAUCGCAGGCGGGCUUCAACCGAGCUUCUUCAAUAAACGAUCUCCAUCCGGACUUCUAUG
RNAcentral lists this long non-coding RNA (210 nucleotides) under Elaeis guineensis (African oil palm). RNAcentral's name for it is "long non-coding RNA (EGUI_LNC078661)". Lineage: Eukaryota; Viridiplantae; Streptophyta; Magnoliopsida; Arecales; Arecaceae. The record is from RNAcentral.